RNAcentral lists this ribosomal RNA (488 nucleotides) under uncultured bacterium. RNAcentral's name for it is "partial 16S ribosomal RNA". It matches the Rfam family "Bacterial small subunit ribosomal RNA", at positions 28 to 507 of the family's 1533-position model. The record is from RNAcentral.
GACGAACGCUGGCGGCGUGCUUAACACAUGCAAGUCGAACGGAAAGGCCCUGCGUUUGUGGGGUGCUCGAGUGGCGAACGGGUGAGUAACACGUGAGUAACCUGCCCUUGUCUUUGGGAUAACUUCAGGAAACUGGGGCUAAUACCGGAUAGGAGCUCCUGCUGCAUGGUGGGCGUUGGAAAGUUUCGGCGGUGGGGGAUGGACUCGCGGCUUACUAGCUAGUUGGUGGGGUAGUGGCUUACCAAGGCUAUGACGGGUAGCCGGCCUGAGAGGGGGAUAGGCGGCACUGGAGCGGGAACAGCGACCAUACUCCUGCGGGAGGCAGCAGACGGCAACGGGCGGCAGCGGUCGAAAGUCUUACACAGCAAGCGGGCGCGUGUGACAGAAGCCUUCGGAUCGUGAUGACGGGUUUCGGGGUGUGAACCGCUGUCGCCGGAGACGAAGCGGGCGUGACGGUACCGAAUAAAGAAGCACCGGCUAACUACGUG